Molecule: ribosomal RNA, 344 nt
Filed under: Tachinus luridus
Lineage: Eukaryota; Metazoa; Arthropoda; Insecta; Coleoptera; Staphylinidae
Description: partial 12S ribosomal RNA
Source: RNAcentral
UAGAUUAUUAUUAGUUAUGUUCUUUAAAAUUAAAGAUUUUGGCGGUAUUUUAGUCUUUUCAGAGGAACCUGUUCUAUAAUUGAUAUUCCACGAUUUAUUAUACUUGUUUUAUUAGUUUGUAUAUCGUCGUAGUUUGAAUAUUUUAAAAGAAUUUAAAUAUUCAAAAUUUUUUAUAAUAAAGAAAAUCAGAUCAAGGUGCAGCUUAUAAACAAGAAGAAAUGGGUUACAAUAAAUUUAUUUAAAUGGAUUAAUAUUUUAAAAGUAUUAUGAAAGUGGAUUUGAAAGUAUUCUAAUUAAAUUUAAUUAGAAGAUUUUAGCUCUAAAAUAUGCACACAUCGCCCGUC